AUUGAACGCUGGCGGCAGGCCUAACACAUGCGAGUCGAACGGUCACACGAAACCACUGGCUGUUUCGCGGACGCGGGGCGGGCGCGAGCGACAUGUCUGGAACACUGCAUGAUGGAUGGGGCUACUUCCAGGAACCGGUGGCUAAAACUGAUUAACGUUGCAACAGCAAGGACGGGGACCUACAGGCCCUUUUCCAGCGGCUUAGCCCCGGUGCGCUUAGCCAGUAGGUGGGGUAAAGGCUCACCUAGGCCACGAUCCCUAGCUGGUAUGAGAGGAUGAACGGCCACACUGGAACUGAGACACGGUCCAGACUCCUACGGGAGGCAGCAGUGGGGAAUAUUGCACAAUGGGCGCAAGCCUGACGCAGCCAUGCCGCGUGUAUGAAGAAGGCCUUCGGGUUGUAAAAUACUUUCAGCGGGGAGGAACGUAGUAAUAUUUAUAUCUUCGCUUAUUGACGUUACCCGCACAAAAAGCACCGGCUAACUCCGUG
Molecule: ribosomal RNA, 490 nt
Filed under: uncultured bacterium
Lineage: Bacteria
Description: partial 16S ribosomal RNA
Rfam family: Bacterial small subunit ribosomal RNA
Source: RNAcentral